UACGAAGGGGGCUAGCGUUGUUCGGAUUUACUGGGCGUAAAGCGCACGUAGGCGGAUCGUUAAGUCAGGGGUGAAAUCCUGGAGCUCAACUCCAGAACUGCCUUUGAUACUGGCGAUCUCGAGUCCGGAAGAGGUGAGUGGAACUCCUAGUGUAGAGGUGGAAUUCGUAGAUAUUAGGAAGAACACCAGUGGCGAAGGCGGCUCACUGGUCCGGUACUGACGCUGAGGUGCGAAAGCGUGGGGAGCAAACAGGG
RNAcentral lists this ribosomal RNA (254 nucleotides) under uncultured bacterium. Its description in RNAcentral is "partial 16S ribosomal RNA". It matches the Rfam family "Bacterial small subunit ribosomal RNA", at positions 524 to 777 of the family's 1533-position model. The record is from RNAcentral.